UGAAGAGGGAAACAACCCAGACCGCCAGCUAAGGUCCCAAAGUCAUGGUUAAGUGGGAAACGAUGUGGGAAGGCCCAGACAGCCAGGAUGUUGGCUUAGAAGCAGCCAUCAUUUAAAGAAAGCGUAAUAGCUCACUGGUCGAGUCGGCCUGCGCGGAAGAUGUAACGGGGCUAAACCAUGCACCGAAGCUGCGGCAGCGACGCUGAUGCGUUGUUGGGUAGGGGAGCGUUCUGUAAGCCUGUGAAGGUGUGCUGUGAGGCAUGCUGGAGGUAUCAGAAGUGCGAAUGCUGACAUAAGUAACGAUAAAGCGGGUGAAAAGCCCGCUCGCCGGAAGACCAAGGGUUCCUGUCCAACGUUAAUCGGGGCAGGGUGAGUCGACCCCUAAGGCGAGGCCGAAAGGCGUAGUCGAUGGGAAACAGGUUAAUAUUCCUGUACUUGGUGUUACUGCGAAGGGGGGACGGAGAAGGCUAUGUUGGCCGGGCGACGGUUGUCCCGGUUUAAGCGUGUAGGCUGGUUUUCCAGGCAAAUCCGGAAAAUCAAGGCUGAGGCGUGAUGACGAGGCACUACGGUGCUGAAGCAACAAAUGCCCUGCUUCCAGGAAAAGCCUCUAAGCAUCAGGUAACAUCAAAUCGUACCCCAAACCGACACAGGUGGUCAGGUAGAGAAUACCAAGGCGCUUGAGAGAACUCGGGUGAAGGAACUAGGCAAAAUGGUGCCGUAACUUCGGGAGAAGGCACGCUGAUAUGUAGGUGAAGUCCCUCGCGGAUGGAGCUGAAAUCAGUCGAAGAUACCAGCUGGCUGCAACUGUUUAUUAAAAACACAGCACUGUGCAAACACGAAAGUGGACGUAUACGGUGUGACGCCUGCCCGGUGCCGGAAGGUUAAUUGAUGGGGUCAGCGCAAGCGAAGCUCUUGAUCGAAGCCCCGGUAAACGGCGGCCGUAACUAUAACGGUCCUAAGGUAGCGAAAUUCCUUGUCGGGUAAGUUCCGACCUGCACGAAUGGCGUAAUGAUGGCCAGGCUGUCUCCACCCGAGACUCAGUGAAAUUGAACUCGCUGUGAAGAUGCAGUGUACCCGCGGCAAGACGGAAAGACCCCGUGAACCUUUACUAUAGCUUGACACUGAACAUUGAGCCUUGAUGUGUAGGAUAGGUGGGAGGCUUUGAAGUGUGG
RNAcentral lists this ribosomal RNA (1172 nucleotides) under Escherichia coli. RNAcentral describes it as "partial 23S ribosomal RNA". It matches the Rfam family "Bacterial large subunit ribosomal RNA", at positions 1011 to 2167 of the family's 2925-position model. The record is from RNAcentral. Lineage: Bacteria; Pseudomonadati; Pseudomonadota; Gammaproteobacteria; Enterobacterales; Enterobacteriaceae.